UUUGUGGGAGUUUUAAUUUCUUUUAAGAGAGGUUUAUAACCUCCUCAAAUAAUAAUAUAUUUUUUUUCUUCAUUUUCUAAUUUUUUUCCUAAAAAUUUUAGAGUAAGUUUUCUUUUAACAAUCCUAAAAUUUUAUUCCCUCCAUAUCUUAAACCCAUAUGCCUAAACCCAUUAUUUUCCUCUAAAAGUUUUCUGAUUCAGUUUCUCCCUUCCACUGAACCCUAAAAUCAGUUCCCCUAUUCGCAAAAUCAGUUUCUCCCUUCCAUUCGCAAAAUCAGUUCCUCCUUCAUUCCUUCUUCCUUCGCAGGUACGCAAUCUUCCUUUCUUCCUUCUUUCAUUUCUUUCUUCCUUCGCAAAAUCAGUUUCUAUUUCCUUUUCCUUUCAGAUUCGCAGUCGGUGGACGAAGCUGCAACGGGGGUUCUGCGGACCGGCAGACAGCGGAGCUCAAAACGUCACGGAGGUACAUCGUUCUACAACUCUUUGUGCUUUUAUUUGGUGCAGCGUUUUAUUGAGUUCAUUCUGCGUCACUUUAGUGGGUUAUCUUCUUCCCAGUCUCAAUCAUGUUUUUCAUCAACGACUAACUUGAGUUCGACAUUUGGUGAGUUCCCUCACCGCUAAUUCAUAGCCAGAAUGAGCUAACNAACAACAAAUAGUCACGAUAUGUUUUUCUUUUAAAUCAAAACCAUAUUCCCACAUCUACUCUUCUUUGUGUUCCUCUUAGGCCCCUAUAGCUCCUUUUCUUUUUCUUUUACAUUUUUUUAUCAAACUAUUUUUUGUCAAGUUUGAUUUAAAGAGAAGAAAAAAAUGGAAUACACAUCUUGUUUGGUUUUUAAUGAGAAAGUAACUUGCUGUCAUAUCUUUAAAAUACACAGAUAAAGUUAGAAGAGUACUGCUAACAAUAUUCUCUCAAUAAAUAUUCUACUAUAGUUAAAAUUUAUUAAAAACUAUAACUAAAAGAGAUAAAAUUAUUAAACUAUAGAUAAUUUAAUCCAAUUACUGUAAUUUUUGAGUUAUCAACUUUAAUCAUAUCCUAUUAGUGUAAUUCCCUCCC
This 1050-nucleotide long non-coding RNA is filed under the name Vigna radiata. RNAcentral's name for it is "long non-coding RNA (VRAD_LNC003605)". The record is from RNAcentral. Lineage: Eukaryota; Viridiplantae; Streptophyta; Magnoliopsida; Fabales; Fabaceae.